Molecule: ribosomal RNA, 395 nt
Filed under: uncultured bacterium
Lineage: Bacteria
Description: bacterial SSU rRNA
Rfam family: Bacterial small subunit ribosomal RNA
Source: RNAcentral
GUGCCAGCCGCCGCGGUAACACGUAGGAGCCAAGCGUUAUCCGAAUUCACUGGGCGUAAAGCGCGUGUAGGCGGUUAUAUAAGUUGGAUGUGAAAGCUCCUGGCUCAACUGGGAGAGGGCGUUCAAUACUGUAUAACUAGAGGACGGCAGAGGGAGGUGGAAUUCCCGGUGUAGUGGUGAAAUGCGUAGAUAUCGGGAGGAACACCAGUGGCGAAAGCGGCCUUCUGGGCCGUACCUGACGCUCAGACGCGAAAGCUAGGGGAGCGAACGGGAUUAGAAACCCCGGUAGUCCUAGCCGUAAACGAUGUAGACUUGGUGUGGGUGGUGUAAAAGCCAUCUGUGCCGAAGCAAACGCGAUAAGUCUACCGCCUGGGGACUACGGCCGCAAGGUUAAA